RNAcentral lists this ribosomal RNA (441 nucleotides) under uncultured Enterobacteriaceae bacterium. RNAcentral describes it as "bacterial SSU rRNA". It matches the Rfam family "Bacterial small subunit ribosomal RNA", at positions 349 to 782 of the family's 1533-position model. The record is from RNAcentral. Lineage: Bacteria; Pseudomonadati; Pseudomonadota; Gammaproteobacteria; Enterobacterales; Enterobacteriaceae.
CAGCAGUGGGGAAUAUUGCACAAUGGGCGCAAGCCUGAUGCAGCCAUGCCGCGUGUAUGAAGAAGGCCUUCGGGUUGUAAAGUACUUUCAGCGGGGAGGAAGGUGUUGAGGUUAAUAACCUCAACAAUUGACGUUACCCGCAGAAGAAGCACCGGCUAACUCCGUGCCAGCAGCCGCGGUAAUACGGAGGGUGCAAGCGUUAAUCGGAAUUACUGGGCGUAAAGCGCACGCAGGCGGUCUGUCAAGUCGGAUGUGAAAUCCCCGGGCUCAACCUGGGAACUGCAUUCGAAACUGGCAGGCUAGAGUCUUGUAGAGGGGGGUAGAAUUCCAGGUGUAGCGGUGAAAUGCGUAGAGAUCUGGAGGAAUACCGGUGGCGAAGGCGGCCCCCUGGACAAAGACUGACGCUCAGGUGCGAAAGCGUGGGGAGCAAACAGGAUUAGA